GACGAGCGCUGGCGGCGUGCUUAACACAUGCAAGUCGAACGGAAAGGCCCUGCUUUUGUGGGGUGCUCGAGUGGCGAACGGGUGAGUAACACGUGAGUAACCUGCCCUUGACUUUGGGAUAACUUCAGGAAACUGGGGCUAAUACCGGAUAGGAGCUCCUGCUGCAUGGUGGGGGUUGGAAAGUUUCGGCGGUUGGGGAUGGACUCGCGGCUUAUCAGCUUGUUGGUGGGGUAGUGGCUUACCAAGGCUUUGACGGGUAGCCGGCCUGAGAGGGUGACCGGCCACAUUGGGACUGAGAUACGGCCCAGACUCCUACGGGAGGCAGCAGUGGGGAAUAUUGCACAAUGGGCGGAAGCCUGAUGCAGCAACGCCGCGUGCGGGAUGGCGGCCUUCGGGUUGUAAACCGCUUUCGCCUGUGACGAAGCGUGAGUGACGGUAAUGGGUAAAGAAGCACCGGCUAACUACGUG
Molecule: ribosomal RNA, 468 nt
Filed under: uncultured bacterium
Lineage: Bacteria
Description: partial 16S ribosomal RNA
Rfam family: Bacterial small subunit ribosomal RNA
Source: RNAcentral